UACAUACUUCCUCCAUCCUAAAAUUUUUGUCUUAAAUUUGUCUAAAUACAAAUGUAUCUAAUACUAAAAUUUAAACAAAUUUAGAUAAAAUGUGACUUGAUACAUCCGUAUUUAGACAAAUCUAAGACAAGAAUUUUGGGACGGAGGGAGUAGUAA
This is a non-coding RNA of Triticum aestivum (bread wheat), 156 nucleotides long. NCBI's taxonomy places the organism in Eukaryota, Viridiplantae, Streptophyta, Magnoliopsida, Poales, Poaceae. The record is from Rfam.